RNAcentral lists this ribosomal RNA (468 nucleotides) under uncultured bacterium. RNAcentral describes it as "partial 16S ribosomal RNA". It matches the Rfam family "Bacterial small subunit ribosomal RNA", at positions 28 to 507 of the family's 1533-position model. The record is from RNAcentral.
GACGAACGCUGGCGGCGUGCUUAACACAUGCAAGUCGAACGGAAAGGCCCUGCUUUUGUGGGGUGCUCGAGUGGCGAACGGGUGAGUAACACGUGAGUAACCUGCCCUUGACUUUGGGAUAACUUCAGGAAACUGGGGCUAAUACCGGAUAGGAGCUCCUGCUGCAUGGUGGGGGUUGGAAAGUUUCGGUGGUUGGGGAUGGACUCGCGGCUUAUCAGCUUGUUGGUGGGGUAGUGGCUUACCAAGGCCUUGACGGGUAGCCGGCCUGGGAGGGUGACCGGACAAAUUGGGACUGGGAUACGGCCCAGACUCCAACGGGAGGCGACAGUGGGGAAUAUUGCACAAUGGGCGGAAGCCUAAUGCAGCAACGCCGCGUGCGGGAUGACGGCCUUCGGGUUGUAAACCGCUUUCGCCUGUGACGAAGCGUGAGUGACGGUAAUGGGUAAAGAAGCACCGGCUAACUACGUG